CCCGACUCGGGGUGAGUCAAGGGGUAUUUUGGGUAUUUAGUACAUUACCGGGAUAUCGAGUAAUGGGAAUAAAUAUUUGAGGAUAUAUUCAGAGUUAGUGAGAUUAGGAGGGAAAUUUAUGAAUUUUGACCAUUUUACCCUCGGGGACAUUUUUGGUACCCCGAGCUUUGGAUUUGCUUAGAGUUACUUGAACUCUAAGUAAACUAAACACAAACAGAAAAAAAACACAGAAAAAUACAAACACCAAACUCUCUCACUCGUGUACUCUCUCUCUCUCUCUCUCUCUCUCUCUCUCUCUCAAUCCUUUGAAAUUUCUUGCGAUCUAAGGGGAAUCGAAGCUAGCUUAGGUUCAAGAUUACUUGGGGAAAGGCUUAGUGUUGUUUUGGCAGCAGAGGUAUCGAUUUAUAGCCUCAAUUCUUUAUGUUUUCUCUGGUUUUAGUUGAGUUUUAAAGUUUUGAAAACUCAAAUCUGAAUUUGAUUUUUUGAGGAGUUUUAAGUUAUUUUUUAGGGAUGGUUUUGAGGCAUAUGAAGUGUUGAGUUGAUUGAGAACUUUGUUUUAGAGAUUUGGCUAUGUUUGGUUGAGUUUUUGGUGAGUUUUGGCUUGAAGAAAACGAGGGAAAAAUUGGGUUUUCAUGUCGAGUCGCGACCCUAUUCUUGGGGCAUCGCGGCUUACAUGAACGAAAGGGAGAAGGAGGUGCUGAACGUCCAUUUGGGUCGUGGCUUGCAAGGAGAGUUGCGACGCGUGUGUUUUAGAGGAGAGCCCUUGGGCUCUCUACCUAGGGGCGGGCCGCGACUCUUGGGCCUUGGGUCGCGACGCUUGAAGGGCUUUUGAGCCCCGGGAAGGUCUUGAGUGCAGGAACUAUGACUUAGGGGCUCGAGAUCGAUUCUACUACCUGAUUUAGUAGAAUUCGACGUCCCGGAGGCUAGGACUCGGUCCAGAAGCCUUUAUUCGCUCGUUAUUGACAUGAUUCUAUAUUAUGGUUGUGACUAGGUUAUUGCUAGGGGCUCAAAAUUGGGAUCGUGCUCAAGGGUCAUUCUUAUUAUACGUUGCACUCGGACCUGAGGUAGGAAAACUACACCUACUAUGUGUUAAAUGUGAUUAUCUUCGUAAUUAGGGCUCGACCUCGUUAAGGAACAUGGUUAUUACCGUGUUUGUAUUUAAUUGGCUGAGUUAUGUGAUUAAUAUGUAUGCAUACUUGUAUUAUCUGAGGUAUGCUUAUCUAUAUCUGGUUAUUUGUUUAUUUGGUUGUCUGAAUAUCUGGUUAAGGCAUUGACUUAUUAGUCAAUGGUGGAAAUAGCGCGUAGUGUGUUGGUCAAGAGGCUUAGGCUUGAUCAAAGAUGUACUAUUACGUUGGCUGACCCUAUGGUCAUUUGGAAAAUAAAAUCAGUUGGCUAGCUCUAUGGCUAGUUACUCAGAGCUAGGGCAAAGGGCUCCGUGUGACUCUAUGGUCACUUAGCUAGGGCAUAGGGCCCUCAGUUGACUCUAUGGUCAUCUAUUCAAAGCAGUGGGCCCCAGAAUGAUCCUAUAAUCAUUUAUUUUUAAUUGUAUGCAUGCAUGAGUAGGUUAUUAUUGCUGGGCAUGCUAGAUAUGCAUAUGGAAUCUGUAUUUACUGUUCAUGCACUUGUUUAUAGUUUUCUUGCUGAGCCUUGACUCAUGGGAGAUGUGUGGUGUAGGUAAGGGGAAGGAAAAAGCUUGACCAACCUUGAGUUGGAGAGCUUCGGUGGCGACGUGUACAUAUAUGCAGCUGCUCGACCACCACAACUGGGGCAAUCUUGGAGGAACCAGAGUUGUAUCCCCUAUUUUGCCACCUAGGUAAAGGGAAAGAAAAGCUCACCUAGCCUUGAGUGGAGAGCUGAUGUGGUGAUGUGUACAUAUGCGGCCGCUUGACCACCACGGCCAAGGAGUUCUCAGAGGAACUAGGGGGUUUACCCUAUUUUUGCCGCUUAGGUCGGCAGGGUUGUAAAUUUAAAACUGUAAUGACCAUUUUGAACUGAGAACCACUUGCAAAUAUUUUGUUUAGCUCUGCAGAGCAGUUUGUAAUAAAAUAUCCAUUUCCUUUU
Long non-coding RNA from Humulus lupulus (European hop), 2061 nucleotides. RefSeq lists it as uncharacterized. NCBI's taxonomy places the organism in Eukaryota, Viridiplantae, Streptophyta, Magnoliopsida, Rosales, Cannabaceae. The transcript is spliced from 2 exons. The record is from RefSeq and is a predicted model, not a curated record.